AGCCCAUUAAAGUAAGACUAAACUGAUAGACAAAUCUUAUGGAAAGAAGAACCAAAGAAAGUAACAGUCUUGUAGUCGAAAUCAGAAUAGAGACACUUUAAGAAGAGUACCACGGAGCACGUGAAAUUCUGUGGGAAGAUAGGGGGACCACCCCCUAAGGCUAAAUACUACCUGGUGACCGAUAGCGAAUAGUACCGUGAGGGAAAGGUGAAAAGAACCCCGGGAGGGGAGUGAAAUAGAACCUGAAACCUUGCGCCUACAAGCAGACAGAGGAAGAAGACUUCUAAUGUCGUACUUUUUGUAGAACGGGCCAGCGAGUUACGAUACGUAGCAAGAUUAAACAUUUAAGAUGUGAAGUCGCAGGGAAACCGAGUCUUAAUAGGGCAAAAGUUGCGUGUUGUAGACCCGAAACCGGGUGAUCUAUCCAUGGGCAGAGUGAAGGUAAAGUAAAAUUUACUGGAGGCUCGAACCGGGUAGCGUUUAAAAGCUAUCGGAUGACCUGUGGAUAGGGGUGAAAAGCCAAUCGAACUCGGAUAUAGCUGGUUCUCCUCGAAAUAGCUUUAGGGCUAGCCUUGUUUUAGAUUACAGGAGGUAGAGCACUGAAUAGUCUAGGGGAAGUAAUUCUACCGAAACUUAUCAAACUCCGAAUGCCUGAAAAUCGAUGAACAGGAGUCAGACCAUGAGGGAUAAGCUUCAUAGUCAAAAGGGAAACAGCCCAGACCACCAGUUAAGGUCCCAAAAUACAGAUUAAGUGGGAAAGGAUGUAAUACUACUCAGACAACCAGGAUGUUGGCUCAGAAGCAGCCAUACAUUUAAAGAGUGCGUAAUAGCUCACUGGUCAAGUGGUAAUGCGCCGAAGAUGAACGGGGCUAAAUCUGAUACCGAAACUGUGGGAUAGAAAAGCAAUUAUGCGAGAAGUAUGCUCGUCCUCUCAGGGUAAGUCGGGACCUAAGGCGAGGCCGAAAGGCGUAGUCGAUGGACAACAGGUAGAAAUUCCUGUACUACAAGAUUGUGAUUGAGAGAAGUACUGACGCAGAAGGAAAAGUCGAGCGUGCUGAUGGUCAUGCACGUCCAAAUAACAAGCCAGAAUAUACAGGCAAAUCCGUAUAUUCGUCAACGUAAGUUAUGAUGGGGAGCAGAAAGAUGCGAAGCGACAGAUUCAAACUGCCAAGAAAAGGUGCUAUCGAAUAAUCUUGUACCCGUACCGCAAACCGACACAGGUAGGCAAGAAGAGAAUUCUAAGACGCGCGGAAGAACCUUUGUUAAGGAACUCGGCAAAAUAAUCCCGUAAGUUAGCGAGAAGGGAUGCCUAAGAAAUUAGGUCGCAGAGAAUAGGCCCAAGCGACUGUUUACCAAAAACACAAGUAUCUGCUAAAUCGAAAGAUGAAGUAUAGGUGCUGACACCUGCCCGGUGCUGGAAGGUCAAGGGGACUUGUUAGAGCAAUCGAAGCAACGAACUUAAGCCCCAGUAAACGGCGGCCGUAACUAUAACGGUCCUAAGGUAGCGAAAUUCCUUGUCGGGUAAGUUCCGACCCGCACGAAAGGUGUAAC
RNAcentral lists this ribosomal RNA (1551 nucleotides) under human gut metagenome. Its description in RNAcentral is "bacterial LSU rRNA". It matches the Rfam family "Bacterial large subunit ribosomal RNA", at positions 296 to 2005 of the family's 2925-position model. The record is from RNAcentral.